CCUACGGGAGGCAGCAGUGGGGAAUUUUGGACAAUGGGGGCAACCCUGAUCCAGCCAUGCCGCGUGAGUGAAGAAGGCCUUCGGGUUGUAAAGCUCUUUCGGCCGGAACGAAAUCGCGCACGUGAAUAACGUGCGUGGAUGACGGUACCGGAGUAAGAAGCACCGGCUAACUACGUGCCAGCAGCCGCGGUAAUACGUAGGGUGCGAGCGUUAAUCGGAAUUACUGGGCGUAAAGCGUGCGCAGGCGGUUCGCUAAGUCAGACGUGAAAGCCCCGGGCUUAACCUGGGAACGGCGUUUGAAACUGGCGGGCUCGAGUACGGCAGAGGGGGGUGGAAUUCCACGUGUAGCAGUGAAAUGCGUAGAUAUGUGGAGGAACACCGAUGGCGAAGGCAGCCCCCUGGGCCGAUACUGACGCUCAUGCACGAAAGCGUGGGGAGCAAACAGGAUUAGAUACCCUGGUAGUCCACGCCCUAAACUUAUGUCAACUAGUUGUCGGGGAAGCAAUUCCUUGGUAACGCAGCUAACGCGUGAAGUUGACCGCCUGGGGAUACGGUCGCAAGAUUAAAACUCAAAUGAAUUGACGG
RNAcentral lists this ribosomal RNA (585 nucleotides) under uncultured bacterium. RNAcentral's name for it is "bacterial SSU rRNA". It matches the Rfam family "Bacterial small subunit ribosomal RNA", at positions 338 to 916 of the family's 1533-position model. The record is from RNAcentral.